GUCGCUGGCUGUGGAUUCAGUAAAAGUUCUCCUCUUUGUAAUUCUGCCUCCAGUUAGCAUAAAAACUUGUCAUGCAGAGAGCAAAACAAGAUAAAAUGCAGGAUGAUGGAUCACCUAAUCAACGCGUUUUGCCCCUCUUAGUGGGCUUUUUCAAGGGAAAAAGCCCACUAAGCCCAUCAUCCUGCAUUUUAUCUUGUUUUGCUGUCAACACUCUGCAUGACAAGUUUUUAUGCUAACCGGAGGCAGAAUUACAAAGAGGAGAACUUUUACUGAAUCCACAGCCAGCCUUAGUGCAACGAGGCGAACGCUCCGGAAGGCAUCCUUGAAGCAGAG
Pelobates cultripes (western spadefoot toad) is the source of this 333-nucleotide non-coding RNA. NCBI's taxonomy places the organism in Eukaryota, Metazoa, Chordata, Amphibia, Anura, Pelobatidae. The record is from the annotation of a GenBank genome assembly.